RNAcentral lists this transfer RNA (65 nucleotides) under human gut metagenome. It matches the Rfam family "tRNA", at positions 5 to 66 of the family's 71-position model. From Rfam's summary of the family: Transfer RNA (tRNA) molecules are approximately 80 nucleotides in length. Their secondary structure includes four short double-helical elements and three loops (D, anti-codon, and T loops). RNAcentral also lists the same sequence under 1 other name. The record is from RNAcentral.
GGAAUAGCUCAGUCGGUAGAGCACUGGUCUCCAAAACCAGGUGUCGGGAGUUCGAGCCUCUCUUC